CACUCACUCACUCACUCACUCACUCACUCACUCACUCACUCUUUUCCAGAAACACAGUACAGUCAUGAUGUGCUAACUAAUCACAUUGUGUUUGUGUUAACCAUCCCACCAUAUAGAAAGUUUAUGACAUGUGAUUUGUGCACCUUACAGGUUGGGUGCACUUCCUUCCAGCUCUAUCCAUUUCUUGUGUGCAGAGCCCAAGUGGGUUUGGGGGAGUUUAUCCUCUGAGAGCUCCGACCUGAGGCUGUCAUUGGUCAGUUGGGCGGCGGAGGGGCGGCGAUGGUUUGGGACCAGCAUGUAACAGGUGCUGCAGAGUCACCCUGCCCAAAACCUACUAACAGUUUUCAUGGACUAGUUUUCAACGCACAAUAUGAGGAAACCAAGGCAUCAAAGAUAUGUUUGACUUAAAACACACUGCUGCAUGGGGCUGAAAUCAAGCUGAGAAUSUUUUAUUUUCUCAUGAAAUGGGUGUGUAURAGCUCACAGCUAUUAUAUACUAACUAAUCAGGCAGACCUGAACAAGACCAGUCAAGGAUAUCCGUCCUUUUUCUCUGUUGUGUCAAAGUCAUUAUGGGUUCGCUGAGAUUGUUGUAUUAAAGAAAACUAAGUCAACACUGCACUACAUUCUCUCCAUAACCCAUUGGUGACAAAAUAGUGAUCUGCCUUUCAGUCCACAAAUGUUUCCUGUAGCAUAGUCUGAUAAGAGCUCUUGAUACUUCCUCUAUAUAAAGAAAACAUUAUUUUGCCUUUGAUAAAAGCCCCAUAGGUCCAAUCAAUAUGCUUGUGUCAGUGCCCGUGUUACACCUCCUUCAGUUUCUGGAAAGCUAAGUGUCCCCACCUAUUGGCUGCCCUUUUAGUCCCUUUAAUGACUCCACAUUCCUGAAUUGACAAUGCUGACCUGACCUUGCUGUGUUAUGUUGAAUGGCACUCUGCUCCGGCCAACCUGAAGGAGACGCUGUUGGACCAGAGUGUGGAGUACAGCAGGAUAUACUGUAUCUGACAGCCCUAGUGGCAGUGAUGACUCUGUCCCAGGACCCAUCUCCUUCUCCCACACUGGAUGGUCCAGUCCUGCUGGAGUGUGUGGAGCUGCUGCUGGUGGCCCUGGCGGGCAACAGAAGGGGGUACGGAGUUCCUCUCCCAGACCCUGUGGGAUGCCAGCCUGCUGCUCUCCCAAAGUCUUCAGACAUCUCUGUUUCCUCGCUGGUGCAGUCUGUUGGCGGUCCACCUGGCCCUGAAGGCCCCUGAGGCUCUCAGGAUAGCCUGGGCCCUGUCUGGCUGGGGCCACGUCACUGAGCAUGGUCCUGAGGGACCACACUCCUCUCCCUGUCUUCAGCACCAGGGCUUUACCUGCUGCAGGAUGAGAGUAGGCCAGGAGAGGAGGAGGGGAGAGGAGCUUGUACCUGAUGCAGGUCAAUCAGGCUCUGCCCUUCCUGCUGGAGCUGCUGCRGGAGGAAUACUGGGAUAACGCUGGUGCCCUGGAAGUGUUGCUGUGUCACCUUCCCCAGUCUGACCUGAGACCUGUACCGAGGGAGGCCAGGGACACUGGGUGUGCUAGUCUCUAUGAGCAGGAUGAGGCCAAUGUGUUUGCAGAACCGUCUGUGAUGUCAGCAUCUCGGCUUCCAUACCUGCUUCAGCUCGCUGAAAGUACCCAGCAUCGUCAGUGGUGGCAGAGCGCGUGGGUGUGUGCGCCAGGGAGAAUGUUACAGACCUGCUGGAGAACCUUGGGGUCUGCAAAGACCUCCAGCCAGGUAACACAGUGGCCAAGGACCAAGGGCCACAUACUUACUCAUCGUGUCUAACUGUUCUUCCAUUCUAGGUGAGACACAGGACCCGGCCUGGUUGGCUCUUCUCAUGGAUUCUGGUUUCCAUGGUGGCCUGUUGGCCAGGCUAGUAUUCKUCCUGUGGCUGCUGGAAAUGUCUGAUCUACGGCCCCUCUGUGAUCCUAAGAGUUUAUGUAAGAACAUCCAGGAAAUUACCUGUAUGUCCAGCCAGAACGGUGUCCAGUUGCCUGCUGCCUUUACUGCAGCUAUGACUGGAGACCUGCCUGGAUGAUACAGUAGUCUGGUUCACACAAUCUAUUUCCUUAGGACCUCCUCUUUGAUGAUCUAAGUCCAGAAUAAAUACAUCCAUGGAUGCUGUAUGAAUGCCUACAGAAGUUACAAACUAUGUGGGCUUUGAAUGGACACUCUGCAGCUGCUUAAUUCCUAUGUUCCUAUCCUACACUAUAARGCAGUAGCAUUUGGCAGGAAGGCUCUCAGAUGAGUAAUGUACGAGAGCUGACUGACUACAGCCAGAUGAAUGGCAAUGAUCAGAUUACUUACUGCUGCUGAUGAGGCCUGCUAAGUAUUGAACAGCUAUAACCUAUGGAGAGCCUCUCCUUACACCUACAAUGCCUGAGCUGAGUGUCUAUAGUGACUCAUCCAAAGAGCCUCAUUUCAGUUGAUGCCAUUGCUUGUUUUAUUAACAUUGUGUUUCCAUGCAUUUGCAUGUCUGUGUAAUAAUAAUGCAACCAUGAUGCAAGUAAUAUUUUGCAUGGUUUUAAAAGUUAUGUUUUUAAUGUCAUAGAUUAAAUAAUCUAUUCAAGUGGGAUUGUCCUCUCUUUCCUAUAGGCUUUCAUGUUUAGAUGUGUUUUAUCUGUAGCCCAACGUUAAAUCCCUCUGUUGUACUUGACUAGACCAUGAACAAAGCCCCUCUGUGAGGAUAUGCAUACAGCUCUGACUCCCUAGACCGGUUCCAACUGCCUCUGACCACUCCUGGUGUAACUGUCAUACCCCCAGCAGCCACAGCAAGGCACCCUUCAUUUCAGUCUACAGUAAACUACAUUGCAUUUUCU
This is a non-coding RNA of Salvelinus sp. IW2-2015, 2833 nucleotides long. Lineage: Eukaryota; Metazoa; Chordata; Actinopteri; Salmoniformes; Salmonidae. The record is from RefSeq and is a predicted model, not a curated record.